RNAcentral lists this ribosomal RNA (2712 nucleotides) under Triticum aestivum (bread wheat). RNAcentral describes it as "partial small subunit ribosomal RNA". Lineage: Eukaryota; Viridiplantae; Streptophyta; Magnoliopsida; Poales; Poaceae. The record is from RNAcentral.
AUGGACGCCAUCGUCGAGCUCGUCGAGCUCUCCGAGUCCAUGCGCCAGGCCGCCUCGCUCCUCGCCGACGACGACCCCUCCGACGACGCCGCCCCGCGCCGCCCCUCCACCUUCCUCAACGCCGUCGCGCUCGGCAACGUCGGGUCCGGCAAGUCGGCCGUGCUUAACUCCCUCAUCGGCCACCCCGUGCUGCCGACGGGGGAGAACGGGGCCACGCGGGCGCCCAUAGUUGUCGACCUGCAGAGGGAUCCGGGGCUCAGCACCAAGUCCAUAGUCCUGCAGAUCGACAGCAAGUCGCAGCAGGUUUCUUCGAGUGCGCUCCGGCAUUCGCUGCAGGAUAGGCUUAGCAAGGCCACCGGACCCGGGAGGAGCAGGACUGAUGAGAUUUACCUCAAGCUGCGGACAAGCACAGCUCCUCCACUAAAGUUGAUUGAUUUACCUGGCAUAGACCAACGAGUUAUUGAUGAUUCAACAAUUAAUGAGUUCGCUGGCCACAAUGAUGCAAUAUUGAUUGUUGUGAUACCAGCAAUGCAAGCCCCUGAGGUUGCAUCAUCCCGGGCUCUUAAACUGGCGAGGGAUAUUGAUCCAGAGGGAACCAGAACAAUAGGUGUCUUGAGUAAAAUCGAUCAAGCCGCAUCAGAUGCAAAAACAGUUGCAUGUGUUCAGGCCAUUUUGUCUAAUAAAGGCCCACGCACAGCAGCUGAAAUUGAAUGGGUUGCUUUAAUAGGGCAAUCUGUUGCAAUUGCGUCAGCUCAAUCAGGGUCAGUUGGGUCUGAGAAUUCACUGGAAACAGCCUGGCGAGCUGAGGCGGAAAGCCUUAAAUCAAUCUUAACCACUGCUCCUCAGAAUAAGCUGGGAAGAAUUGCUCUUGUUGAUACCAUUGCUAAGCAGAUACGUAAGCGGAUGAAAGUGCGGCUACCUAACUUAUUGACUGGGCUUCAGGGCAAGUCUCAGGUAGUGAAAGAUGAACUUGCAAGGCUUGGAGAAUCGAUGGUACAAAGUCCGGAAGGAACCAGGGCUGUUGCUUUGGAGCUGUGCCGAGAAUUUGAAGAUAAGUUUCUCGCUCAUGUUACUUCUGGUGAGGGGUCUGGUUGGAAAAUUGUUGCAAGUUUCGAGGGCAAGUUUCCAGAUAGGAUCAAACAGCUUCCGUUGGACAGGCAUUUUGAUCUGAACAAUGUCAAAAGGAUUGUCUUGGAAGCUGAUGGUUAUCAACCAUAUUUGAUAUCCCCGGAGAAAGGUUUAAAAUCUUUGAUUAAAGGAGUGCUUGAAAUGGCAAAGGAGCCAUCACGACUAUGUGUUGAAGAGGUACACCGUGUAUUGUUAGACAUAGUAAAUGCCACUGCAAAUGGCACGCCAGGGCUCGGAAGAUAUCCUCCGUUCAAACGCGAGAUCAUUACAAUUGCAUCUAAUGCGUUGGAUACAUUCAAAAGUGACGCGAAAAAGAUGGUGGUUGCGCUCGUUGAUAUGGAGCGUGCCUUUGUCCCCCCACAACAUUUCAUCCGUUUAGUACAAAGAAGAAUGGAAAGGCAGCGCCGUGAGGAGGAGGUGAAAACUAAAUCAUCUAAGAAAGCACAAGAUGCUGAGCAAGCCAUGAUGAACAAGGAGCAAGCUAAGUCGUCAAAAGACAAAUCCAAUCAGCAAGAUAAAGAUACCAAAGAGGGACCUAAUCUGCAGGUUGCUGGUCCUGGCGGCGAAAUAACUGCAGGUUACCUAUUGAAAAAGAGUGCAAAAAACAAUGAAUGGAGCAAAAGGUGGUUUGUCCUAAAUGAGAAGAGUGGAAAGCUUGGCUACACCAAGAAACAAGAGGAGAGGCAUUUUCGAGGCGUCAUUGUCUUAGAGGAAUGUAACCUGGAAGAGAUAGAGGAGGAAGAGCUUUCUAAAACUUCUAAGGAUUCAAAGAAGGCGAAUGGGGCAGAGAAAGGCCCAAGUCUCGUAUUUAAGAUUACUAACAGGGUUGCCUACAAAACUGUGCUGAAAGCUCAUAGUGCCGUUGUAUUGAAGGCUGAGAGUAUGGCUGACAAGAUUGAAUGGGUGAAGAAGAUAAAAGGUAUUAUUCAGAGCAAAGGUGGGUCUGUCAAGAGUUCAAAUACUCCUGAGGGCGGUUCCAUGAGACAAAGCCAUUCAGAUGGAUCUCUUGAUACGAUGGCCCGGAGGCCUGCUGAUCCUGAAGAAGAACUCCGAUGGAUGUCUCAAGAAGUUCGCGGUUAUGUUGAGGCUGUGUUGAACAGCCUGGCAGCAAAUGUUCCAAAGGCCAUUGUGCUUUGCCAAGUGGAGAAAGCAAAGGAAGAUAUGCUAAACCAGCUGUACAGCUCAAUAAGUUCACAAAGCAAUGCAAGGAUUGAAGAACUUCUCCAAGAGGACCACAAUGCUAAACGUAGACGGGAAAAGGCCCAAAAACAAUCGACUCUCCUGUCAAAACUUACUCGUCAGCUCAGCGUCCAUGAUAACAGAGCUGCAGCUGCAUCAUAUUCUGAUGAUACUUCUGGUCCGGAGAGUGGCCCACAGAGUCCUGGCCAGUCAGGUGAGGACUGGAGGUCUGCCUUCAGUGCUGCAGCAAAUGGCUCUGCCGACCGAUCCAGUUCACAGAACGAGUCGAGAUCGAGAAGUGCUGACAGUCGUGGUCGGCGGUAUGAAAAUGGGGAUGCCAACGGUGCCAAUUCAGGCAGCCGACGCACACCAAACCGGUUGCCACCUGCACCGCCGAAAUACUAA